GACGAACUGUCCUAACGUUGUUCGGAAUCACUGGGCUUAAAGGGCGCGUAGGCGGUCCGACAAGUCAGGGGUGAAAUCCUGCAGCUUAACUGUAGAAGUGCCUCUGAUACUGUCGGUCUUGAGGGAGAUAGGGGUGUGCGGAACUUCCAGUGGAGCGGUGAAAUGCGUUGAUAUUGGAAGGAACGCCGGAGGCGAAAGCGGCGCACUGGAUCUCUUCUGACGCUGAGGCGCGAAAGCUAGGGGAGCAAACGGG
This 253-nucleotide ribosomal RNA is filed under the name uncultured bacterium. Its description in RNAcentral is "partial 16S ribosomal RNA". It matches the Rfam family "Bacterial small subunit ribosomal RNA", at positions 524 to 776 of the family's 1533-position model. The record is from RNAcentral.